AGCAGCCGCGGUAAUUCCAGCUCCAAUAGCGUAUAUUAAAGUUGUUGCAGUUAAAAAGCUCGUAGUUGAAUUUCGGGGUUAGUAGGUUGGUCAUGCCACUGGUAUGUACUGGUCUCACUGAUUCCCUCCUUCCUGAUGAACUGUAAUGCCAUUUAAUUUGGUGUUGCAGGGAAUCUGGACUGUUACUUUAGAAAAAUUAGAGUGUUUAAAGCAGGCUAACGCCUGAAUACAUUAGCAUGGAAUAAUGAAAUAGGACGUUCGAUCCUAUUUUGUUGGUUUCUAGGAUUGACGUAAUGAUUAAUAGGGAUAGUUGGGGGCAUUAGUAUUCAAUUGUCAGAGGUGAAAUUCUUGGAUUUAUUGAAGACUAACUACUGCGAAAGCAUUUGCCAAGGAUGUUUUCAUUAAUCAAGAACGAAAGUUAGGGGAUCGAAGACGAUCAGAUACCGUCGUAGUCUUAACCAUAAACUAUGCCGACUAGGGAUCGGAUGAUGUUAAUUUUUAAUGACUCAUUCC
Molecule: ribosomal RNA, 513 nt
Filed under: uncultured Glomus
Lineage: Eukaryota; Fungi; Glomeromycota; Glomeromycetes; Glomerales; Glomeraceae
Description: SSU rRNA
Rfam family: Eukaryotic small subunit ribosomal RNA
Source: RNAcentral